Molecule: ribosomal RNA, 397 nt
Filed under: uncultured bacterium
Lineage: Bacteria
Description: partial 16S ribosomal RNA
Rfam family: Bacterial small subunit ribosomal RNA
Source: RNAcentral
AUACGUAGGGGGCGAGCGUUGUCCGGAAUGACUGGGCGUAAAGGGCGUGUAGGCGGCGGUGUAAGUCUGGAGUGAAAGUCCCGCAUUCAAUGUGGGAAUUGCUUUGGAUACUGCAGUGCUAGAGUGCGGAAGAGGUAAGUGGAAUUCCCAGUGUAGCGGUGAAAUGCGUAGCGCUUGGGAGGAACACCAGUGGCGAAGGCGACUUACUGGGCCGUAACUGACGCUGAGGCGCGAAAGCGUGGGGAGCGAACAGGAUUAGAUACCCUGGUAGUCCACGCGGUAAACGAGGAAUGCUAGGUGUUGCGGGUAUCGACCCCUGCAGUGCCGGAGUAAACACAAUAAGCAUUCCGCCUGGGGAGUACGGCCGCAAGGUUGAAACUCAAAUGAAUUGACGGGG